Molecule: ribosomal RNA, 543 nt
Filed under: uncultured bacterium
Lineage: Bacteria
Description: bacterial SSU rRNA
Rfam family: Bacterial small subunit ribosomal RNA
Source: RNAcentral
UGGGGAAUCUUGGACAAUGGGGGCAACCCUGAUCCAGCCAUGCCGCGUGAGUGAUGAAGGCCUUAGGGUCGUAAAGCUCUUUCGCCUGUGAAGAUAAUGACGGUAGCAGGUAAAGAAACCCCGGCUAACUCCGUGCCAGCAGCCGCGGUAAUACGGAGGGGGUUAGCGUUGUUCGGAAUUACUGGGCGUAAAGCGCACGUAGGCGGACCAGAAAGUUGGGGGUGAAAUCCCGGGGGCUCAACCCCGGAACUGCCUCCAAAACUAUUGGUCUAGAGUUCGAGAGAGGUGAGUGGAAUUCCAAGUGUAGAGGUGAAAUUCGUAGAUAUUUGGAGGAACACCAGUGGCGAAGGCGGCUCACUGGCUCGAUACUGACGCUGAGGUGCGAAAAGUGUGGGGAGCAAAACAGGAUUAGAUACCCCUGGUAGUCCACACCGUAAAACGAUGAAUGCCAGUCGUCGGGUAGCAUGCUAUUCGGUGACACACCUAACGGAUUAAGCAUUCCGCCUGGGGAGUACGGUCGCAAGAUUAAAACUCAAAGGAAUU